ACAGGCUGAUGAUGUCACAGUGCCACAGGUUUAUGAGGUCACUGCAGAUCCCACCAUGGGCUAGGAGCUCCCACUUGGUGGAGCAUCAUUCAGUGGUCCUGAUGUGAUAACUCAGGAUACAGAAAUGAGCGUGAAAGGAAGAAGCAGUUUUAGGGUGAUCAGACGAGACCAUCCACACCCUCCCGGGUCCAGUCAAGCUUUCUCUCUUUUCGGAAUUCCGUCUCCUUGGGAGCCACACUUAGAGGGAACUUUACCUGGAUGUUGGCAGAGGGCACUGGGACAGUGGAAGGGACCCAGACUGAAUUAACAAACGGCCCUCAUUGCCUGUGCUUGGGGUUAGGCAGGGAAGAAAACAUCCUUGAAGGAAAGCACACAGACGAACAGAGGCUCUGUGACAGGACCUUGACCAAGCACUCUUAUUUAGACCUGAACUCUCAGGAGUGUCUCAAGAGAAUCAAUGAAUGAAGAACACCGGAACCUGGUUGUGUACACACACCUGUGCACUCUGGACUCACAGGCAAGCAAGACAGACUGAGCGCUCAAGCCUCUGCAAGGCUCUCUUCAGGACGCCAGCCCUGUAACAGCGCCCAGCCUCAGCUGCUCUCUUCAGGCCUUCAUAUUCUUUUUUUUUUUUUUUCUCGGAGCUGGGGACCGAACCCAGGGCCUUGCGCUUGCUAGGCAAGCGCUCUACCACUGAGCUAAAUCCACAACCACGCCUUCAAAACCAGUACCACCUGGGCGACUCUUACACUACCGAGGUCGGCUACCAGCAGGAGAUAUGACCUUGGCCAAAUCUCCAGAGCACAUCUUGCAUAGACUGACUGAGUGCAAACCCUUCUCAGAAGGCUUUACCUCAGUGACACUAAUCUCUUAAUCACAGCUGAUUCUUCAGCCCCAGCCAACCAGUGUGCAUUGUGUUAACAAAAUAAAGGCUUUACAUCAGUGUU
Molecule: non-coding RNA, 947 nt
Organism: Rattus norvegicus (Norway rat)
Lineage: Eukaryota; Metazoa; Chordata; Mammalia; Rodentia; Muridae
Source: RefSeq, a predicted model, not a curated record